Long non-coding RNA from Cryptomeria japonica (Japanese cedar), 1290 nucleotides. RefSeq lists it as uncharacterized. NCBI's taxonomy places the organism in Eukaryota, Viridiplantae, Streptophyta, Pinopsida, Cupressales, Cupressaceae. The record is from RefSeq and is a predicted model, not a curated record. The transcript has 4 exons.
UAUUUUGUUGGAAGUAAAUUAAAACUCUUUCAAAAGUUUUUCUCUGGCUGAGUUUAUCAAACCCUAAUACAUCCACCGCCAUGAGUUUCACUCUAGCAGUUACAGGGCAAAAUAUUGUUAGAUUCUGGUUAUGGGUUUUUGGUAUGACAAUCCGCAAGGUUAAAUGAGUCGAAUGGUGGUCUUAGUUGCCGAUUUCAAUGGGAUUUUGUGCAGAUAUUUAGGAUUUCAUUCUCCGGUACAUCUCUUCAAAAAAACAGAUCCUUCAUGCAAUCAUUUGACAAGGUUUAGCAGCAGAAAAUAAAUGGAGAACAAAGAAGGACCAAGAAAGAAAAAGGAUGCAAGAAGAUCGUGAUUCUGUAUACUGCAAAAGACUCAAAAGCUGGGAAAACUAAUUGGAUGAUGCAUCAAUACCAUCUUGGUACUGAGAAGGCUGAAAAGGAAGGCGCGUUCCUUGUGUCAAAAGUAUAACCCCACUUCCUUCUCGUCUUCAUCUGUACCGAGAUGAUACUCAUGCAUCACCCAGUUAGUUUUCUCUGUAUAUAAAAGCAUUGAGAGCAUGUGUGCUUCCUGACCAUCGUUGAAGAGGAUGGGUGUUUCCAUUGGAUCAAGAUCAAAUAAGUUGGAUGACAAGAUUUCUGCAAAGAAAGAAAAAGUGGACAGAAAGAAGAAGUGAAGAGAACCUUGGAAUUAUUUCAUCUACAUCUUGAUAAAGGAGGUUAAUUAUAUAUAGAACAAGAAACAACCGUCAUUCUUUAUAUUAGGUUUUUAAGAGAGAACAACAAUAAUAAUAUGUGUAGGAAAAAUGUCAUUAGCCUUUCUAAAUGCAUAACAACUCUAAUGUUGUAUUAAGGGUUCUACAGAUGCUCCAUUGCAAGACACUACUACUUUUAGUUUGUGAAAAGCCUUCCGAAGAAUUUAUGUUGUUGUAUAUUGAUGAGAGUGCCCACGUUAAAUUGAAACCUCUUUGAAAACAAUAUAAUGGAACCUGAGGAAUUCCCCCUUCUAAAAAUAAAUCUAUUACCAUCAUAAAUUGAUUAUGUAAGUGCAUUUGUAAGUUGAAACAUCAAUAUUCAGUUACAAGUAAGGAAUGACGUCUUGAAUGCAAUCAACUUGCACUUUCUGAAUAUUUCUUCAAGAACUCAUGGAGUAAUGCCAGUACAGUUCUUAGAUGGAAGUAAUGUGAGUACAGUUCUUAGAUGGAAGUAAUGUGAUUUGAAGAUACUGAGGCCUGUUAGUGUUGGUCAUAUCCCUGCAUGCAUAUUUGAUAUGCAUUAGGUAAUAGACACAAUA